UUAAUCCUUCAGGGCAGGGUGAAAAUCCCGACCGGCGGUAAAGUCCGCGAGCUAUUUUUAGCAGGAACUGGUGAAAUUCCAGUACCGACAGUAAAGUCUGGAUGGAAGAAGGGAAGU
Molecule: non-coding RNA, 117 nt
Filed under: Clostridium acetireducens
Lineage: Bacteria; Bacillati; Bacillota; Clostridia; Eubacteriales; Clostridiaceae
Also listed under: 1 other name
Description: FMN sequence
Rfam family: FMN riboswitch aptamer (RFN element)
About the family: The RFN element is a highly conserved domain that is found frequently in the 5'-untranslated regions of prokaryotic mRNAs that encode for flavin mononucleotide (FMN) biosynthesis and transport proteins. This element is a metabolite-dependent riboswitch that directly binds FMN in the absence of proteins.
Source: RNAcentral